GACGAACGCUGGCGGCGUGCUUAACACAUGCAAGUCGAGCGAGGUUCAACCGGUGGCAACACCGGGGAAGACCUAGCGGCGAACGGGUGAGUAACACGUGAGCAACCUGUCCCGGAGUCUGGGAUAACACCGGGAAACCGGUGCUAAAUACCGGAUACCCCCACCGGACCGCAUGGUCGUGGUGAGGAAAGAAUUUAUUUGCGUUCGGGAGGGGCGUCGCGGGCGUAUCAGCUUGUUGGU
This 240-nucleotide ribosomal RNA is filed under the name uncultured bacterium. RNAcentral describes it as "partial 16S ribosomal RNA". It matches the Rfam family "Bacterial small subunit ribosomal RNA", at positions 28 to 253 of the family's 1533-position model. The record is from RNAcentral.